UUUUAGAUGGGCUCACGGCCUAUCAGCUUGUUGGUGAGGUAAUGGCUUACCAAGGCGACGACAGGUAGCCGGCCUGAGAGGGUGACCGGCCACACUGGGACUGAGACACGGCCCAGACUCCUACGGGAGGCAGCAGUGGGGAAUAUUGCACAAUGGGCGCAAGCCUGAUGCAGCGACGCCGCGUGAGGGAUGACGGCCUUCGGGUUGUAAACCUCUGUUAGCAUCGAAGAAGCGAAAGUGACGGUAGGUGCAGAGAAAGCGCCGGCUAACUACGUGCCAGCAGCCGCGGUAAUACGUAGGGCGCGAGCGUUGUCCGGAAUUAUUGGGCGUAAAGAGCUUGUAGGCGGUUGGUCGCGUCUGCUGUGAAAGGCCGGGGCUUAACUCCGGUUUUGCAGUGGGUACGGGCUAACUAGAGUGCAGUAGGGGAGACUGGAAUUCCUGGUGUAGCGGUGGAAUGCACAGAUAUCAGGAGGAACACCGAUGGCGAAGGCAGGUCUCUGGGCUGUAACUGACGCUGAGAAGCGAAAGCAUGGGGAGCGAACAGGAUUAGAUACCCUGGUAGUCCAUGCCGUAAACGUUGGGCACUAGGUGUGGGGGACAUUCCACGUUUUCCGCGCCGUAGCUAACGCAUUAAGUGCCCCGCCUGGGGAGUACGGCCGCAAGGCUAAAACUCAAAGGAAUUGACGGGGGCCCGCACAAGCGGCGGAGCAUGCGGAUUAAUUCGAUGCAACGCGAAGAACCUUACCAAGGCUUGACAUGCAUUAGAUCGCGUCAGAGAUGGCGUUUCCCUUCGGGGCUGGUGUACAGGUGGUGCAUGGUUGUCGUCAGCUCGUGUCGUGAGAUGUUGGGUUAAGUCCCGCAACGAGCGCAACCCUCGUUCUAUGUUGCCAGCGGUUCGGCCGGGGACUCAUAGGAGACUGCCGGGGUCAACUCGGAGGAAGGUGGGGAUGACGUCAAAUCAUCAUGCCCCUUAUGUCUUGGGCUUCACGCAUGCUACAAUGGCCGGUACAGAGGGUUGCGAUACUGUGAGGUGGAGCUAAUCCCUUAAAGCCGGUCUCAGUUCGGAUUGGGGUCUGCAACUCGACCCCUUGAGGUCGGAGUCGCUAGUAAUCGCAGAAUCAGCAACGCUGCGGUGAAUACGUUCCCGGGGCCUUGUCCACAUCGCCCGUCA
Molecule: ribosomal RNA, 1171 nt
Filed under: uncultured bacterium
Lineage: Bacteria
Description: bacterial SSU rRNA
Rfam family: Bacterial small subunit ribosomal RNA
Source: RNAcentral